AUACGUAGGGUGCAAGCGUUAAUCGGAAUUACUGGGCGUAAAGCGUGCGCAGGCGGAAUUGUAAAAAAGAGGUGAAAACCCCGGGCUCAACCUCGGAACCGCCUUUGUGACUGCAAAGCUUGAGAACGGCAACGGGGGAAGGAAUUCCGCCUGUAGCAGUGAAAUGCGUAGUCAUGCGGCGGUACACCGAUGGCGAAGGCAAUCCCCCGGGGCUGUACUGACGCUGAAGCCCGAAAGCGUGGCGAACAAAUAGAGUUAGAUACCAUGGUAGUCCUCGGCCGAAACGAUGUUAACUGGUUGGUGAGUCUCCAUUUUCACAGCAACGGAGCUAGCGGAUUAAGAUGAAAGCCUGGCGAGGACGGCCUCAAGGUUGAAGCUCAAAUGAAUUGACGAGU
RNAcentral lists this ribosomal RNA (395 nucleotides) under uncultured bacterium. RNAcentral describes it as "partial 16S ribosomal RNA". It matches the Rfam family "Bacterial small subunit ribosomal RNA", at positions 523 to 918 of the family's 1533-position model. The record is from RNAcentral.